GGCCUGUUUCGAUGAGCUGAGGGAAUGGUAAAUAAUAGAAGGGUAAGAAAGGAUAAAGAGAGUAACAAUAAAAAAAAUCUCAUGUUUGAAAAGGAAUGAAUUAAUGGAAAUGUAAGGAGGGUAAUAUAUAUUCUUUAUGUUUGGGUGAAUUAGAGAUAAAAUUAAGGGGUGUAGAAAUCUUCCACCCCCCCCCCCCCCCCC
Molecule: unclassified non-coding RNA, 201 nt
Filed under: Hevea brasiliensis (rubber tree)
Lineage: Eukaryota; Viridiplantae; Streptophyta; Magnoliopsida; Malpighiales; Euphorbiaceae
Source: RNAcentral